Dalotia coriaria is the source of this 2196-nucleotide RNA transcript. It is a transcript of the gene named synaptotagmin-15-like, with no coding region annotated. The record is from RefSeq and is a predicted model, not a curated record. NCBI's taxonomy places the organism in Eukaryota, Metazoa, Arthropoda, Insecta, Coleoptera, Staphylinidae. The transcript has 12 exons.
CUGAGGCGGAAAAAACCAUGUGAAAAAUGAUCGUACUCUCGAAGACACCGUCGAAGAAAAUCUUUCACUCGACGCUGGAAAUGCUGUCGCUGGACAAGGACGUAGCGUCCACCUUUCAGCCGAAAGCUACGGAAAGUGUCGCAGCUAGACAACAAACAUUCGAUGGCGCGUUCAACGGGCAAGAGUACUUCUACCCGUUGAUCAUCGCCUCGAUUGGAUUGACCGUGUUUCUGGUGACUGUCGCUGUCGUCCUGGUGCGGAAACAUCGCAUCAAGCGGGAGGAUAGCGCCAACAAAGCCAGCAGCAUAUUGGUUUAUCCAUCGCAACAAGGAUCUCUCCAACCGCAAUUCUUGACUAAGGAAAUUCACUUCAGUUUACCGCCAUUGAGGAGUACUUCGUUGGGAGAUCUGCAUGAGACCGAACAGGACUCUGAUGUUGACAUUGAAACUGAAUCUCUGUUGCCAACUACUCAACAUAACCAAAGAUCACAUUCUUUCAGUUGCUAUGGCCUAGGAGUAAUUGAACCAGCUCUAUACAAGAAUACCCUGGACUUGGAUGAUAUUCAAUGGCCGGAUGGACAUAUUGGACGAAUCUGGUUCUCCUUACGAUACGAACCAUCAACUGAAAAACUUCUGGUAUCCCUGCUAAAGGCCAAGAACUUACCAUCAAGAACCCUGGGAACUGUCAACAGUUGUGAUCCAUAUGUCAGAUUGCACUUGAUGCCAGAUGAAAGACGAUACUUACAGUCAAAGCAAAAAAAGAAGACCUGCAAUCCAUACUUUGAUGAAACACUGGUCUUUCAUGUGUCUCCGAAAGAUAUGUCCGAUCAUUAUUUGAAGUUAACGGUGAUUGAUGGCGGACGGACCAAGCGGCGUGCUGAAAUCGGCCACGUCACCUAUCUCCUCAAGGAAUUGGAAAUCGGAGACGGGUCUGAACAGCAACUCUUCAAGCUUGACUUGGAAAAGGAAACUACAGAAAUUCGAUCGGAUCUGGGUGAGCUUCUCAUUUCAUUGGUAUAUAAUGAAAACCUGUGUCGUCUGACCGCUACUGUCAUCGAGGCUCGUCGACUCAAGUUUCAGGGUGACAAGCACGAGGCCUACGUCCGCCUGACAUUGAAUCAGCACUACAAGUCGGUGAAGGAGAAGCGGACGCGCGUGGUGCGCAGCGCUCAGGAGUCCGUCGCCACCUUCACCGAGGGCUUCAACUUCAAGCUGACGCCCUCGCAGAUGGACAUCACCAGCCUGGCGUUCCACAUCUUCCAGUCGACGAGUGGUUAUGGUAGGGAUAAAUUGAUUGGCAAAUGCGUGCUGGGAUCGUACAUGUUCGCCAGGGGCAAGGCGCUCAUUCACUGGAAUACCGCGAUGGCGAACUCCAUGGAACAAUCGCAGCAAUGGCACGUGCUUUGCGAAUGAGGAGGCUAGCUCCGAGCAUACAUACAUUUUAGCCAAGUUUUCUCUGUCCUUCAUUAGCGCCAUCGGGCGGAUAGCGAAUCACAUAAUAUUUACCUUUACCGAGUGCCCGAUUUCCCGAGAAAAUCGUGUUUACCUACCAGCAAAUCUCCGGCCUGCUCCUUGAAUGCAACACACGCCGCCUGGCUGCCAGCGGUGCAAAAGGACGUCCCAGCUGAUCGGUGAUCACUCCCGCUACUGAAAAUCAGUUGCUCCGUCGCGACGCUCCAUGCCAGACGCGUUCCAUCGACGCAUGCAUAAAACUUUUGGCGCUGCGUGUUCAGAUUACUCCACGAAUAUUUCUACAAUUUGGUGAAUCUUCCGGAAGAAUUCCUCGGGCGUAGACAACUCUAACAGAUUCGAGCAUGGACGAGGCAGUUCACGCAUUCCGCAACAGCAACCUCAACUCCAACUCCAACGAGACUUUCCUGGUGAAGCGCACCGAUGAUCCCAAGUACUUCUAUGUCGCCAUUGCGAGUUUAAUCGUCUUCCUAUUAAUCUCUAUCAUCACAACUGUCUUGCUAUGUGUCACCCUGAAGAACGAGCCGAUUCUCUGGGAGGCCGACGUGGAGAAACCUCCGGAACCGUCUGGAACCGCUGAUGAAGUCGCUGAUUCUUUUGAAGAACAUGAGCGUGAAUGCGAGGAUGAAAACAACGUUUAGUAACAUUCCACAAACUAUGACUAUAAUAUUACUCUCUCAAUGGAUGCUACAAAGUUGUUUUAAUAUAUUUGUAAAUGCACAUAAUA